AUGCAAGACUACUUCACGGAAAAUCCUACAUAUCCACCACACCUCUUCUGGAGAAGGUACCGAAUGCGCCGAUCUCUUUUUGUGAAAAUUGUUCAAGCUUGUGAGGCAAAUUGCCAGUAUUUUACUCAAAGAAGAAAUGUUGCGGGCUUAAAGGGAUUUAGUGCAUAUCAAAAAAUCUCCGCAGCUAUGCGGAUGAUUGCAUAUGGCGUUCCGGCUGACUAUGUCGAUGAGUACUGA
RNAcentral lists this ribosomal RNA (237 nucleotides) under Triticum aestivum (bread wheat). RNAcentral's name for it is "partial small subunit ribosomal RNA". The record is from RNAcentral. Lineage: Eukaryota; Viridiplantae; Streptophyta; Magnoliopsida; Poales; Poaceae.